This 1097-nucleotide long non-coding RNA is filed under the name Rosa chinensis. RNAcentral describes it as "sRNA RchiOBHm_Chr5g0048181". Lineage: Eukaryota; Viridiplantae; Streptophyta; Magnoliopsida; Rosales; Rosaceae. The record is from RNAcentral.
UCCAUAUUUAGAAACACGACCUUGACGAUAUCAAAAUUCGACAAAAGCAAACAGCAAACCUUCUUUUGCUAUGUGAUUUUUCGACCUUGACUCUUAAGAGUUUAAAACAGAUGGCUAAUGAAGAACUAGAAACUAGAACGUAUACUAUCGGGGAGUUAGCCGACCUGAGAUUUGGCUUAUGCUAAAGAGAAAUCUAUUAUUCUAUUUAACCCAAUUUUUCCAUAUCUUACAUCCCUCUUCUUUCUUACUUCCGGAGUUUGGAGAUUGUUGUGUCGGAUUGCUCGGAGAUUGUUACAGCUGUAAACAACUCAGCUUCUCCUGACUUAGACCUGGGUUUUUUGAUUGAAGACCUUCAUCGGCAUUGCAGCAAACUUCCGCCGCACGUUUACUUCAUUUGAAGUGCAGAAUAACCAACAAUGUGGCUUAUAUGUUAGCUUAGGAGACUGAGGCUAAUGGGUUCUCCCUUGUACGUUUUCUUUUCUGCAUCCCAUUCAAUUGUGGAGGAGGCUCAUAUCGAUGAUUGUAAUGAUUUCUAAUCAAUGAAUUCCAUUUAUUUGCUCUCGAAAGUGAAAAGAGAAAAAACAGUGUCAAUCGCAGUAAAUUAGAAUCGAAUAGCCCCUCAUACGUAACUAAUUCUUUCAACCAAUAAAUUUAUUCAUUACCUGGAAAAUACUCAGCGCAAGAUUGAAGUAAAGAACAAUAUUUUAGUCUUGUAAUUAAUUAUGCUUUCCAAAAUUGCUGUAUUUCAUGUAGGGUUGUUACAUGAUAUAAAUUGUUGUUAUGGUAUAUGUAGAGAAUAGUAAUAUAAGAGCACCUGUAACAUGUCCCCUAAACAUUAUAUUAAAAAAAAAAAUUAUAAAUAUAUAUAUAUAAGGGUUUUUCUUAAACAUCAACUAAUUAACCCAAUUUUGCCAUAACUUACGUCCCUUGCUUCAGUGAUUGGUUUCAGGGACUUAUUUGGGUUUUUUCUUGCUCUUUGUGUAGGUUAAUGUUGAGGAACUGCGAAAAUGCAUUUGUAGCUUGAAAACCCUGGAGGCUUUAUAUGCUCUUCAAAGUAUUGAAAGAUGAUAGGAAGUUCACAAAAGCUGAGAUUGUAG